GACGAACGCUGGCGGCGUGCUUAACACAUGCAAGUCGAACGGAAAGGCCCUGCUUUUGUGGGGUGCUCGAGUGGCGAACGGGUGAGUAGCGCGUGAGUAACCUGCCCUUGACUUUGGGAUAACUUCAGGAAACUGGGGCUAAUACCGGAUAGGAGCUCCUGCUGCAUGGUGGGGGUUGGAAAGUUUCGGCGGUUGGGGAUGGACUCGCGGCUUAUCAGCUUGUUGGUGGGGUAGUGGCUUACCAAGGCUUUGACGGGUAGCCGGCCUGAGAGGGUGACCGGCCACAUUGGGACUGAGAUACGGCCCAGACUCCUACGGGAGGCAGCAGUGGGGAAUAUUGCACAAUGGGCGGAAGCCUGAUGCAGCAACGCCGCGUGCGGGAUGACGGCCUUCGGGUUGUAAACCGCUUUCGCCUGUGACGAAGCGUGAGUGACGGUAAUGGGUAAAGAAGCACCGGCUAACUACGUG
Molecule: ribosomal RNA, 468 nt
Filed under: uncultured bacterium
Lineage: Bacteria
Description: partial 16S ribosomal RNA
Rfam family: Bacterial small subunit ribosomal RNA
Source: RNAcentral